GCAAGUCGAACGAGAACAGGAUUGCUUGCAAUCCUAAGUAAAGUGGCGCACGGGUGAGUAACACGUGGAUAACCUGCCUUAUGUUCCGGAACAACAUUGCGAAAGCGAUGCUAAUACCGGAUGAUGUUCUUUUCCCCUCGGGGAAGUUAAUGAAAGGGUGCCUCUAUUUAUACGCAUCUGACAUAAGAUGGGUCCGCGGAUCAUUAGCUAGAUGGUGGGGUAACGGCUUACCAUGGCGACGAUGAUUAGCUGGUCUGAGAGGAUGAUC
Molecule: ribosomal RNA, 268 nt
Filed under: uncultured bacterium
Lineage: Bacteria
Description: partial 16S ribosomal RNA
Rfam family: Bacterial small subunit ribosomal RNA
Source: RNAcentral